UACGUAGGGUCCGAGCGUUGUCCGGAAUUAUUGGGCGUAAAGAGCUCGUAGGCGGUUUGUCGCGUCUGCUGUGAAAGACCGGGGCUCAACUCCGGUUCUGCAGUGGGUACGGGCAGACUAGAGUGAUGUAGGGGAGACUGGAAUUCCUGGUGUAGCGGUGAAAUGCGCAGAUAUCAGGAGGAACACCGAUGGCGAAGGCAGGUCUCUGGGCAUUAACUGACGCUGAGGAGCGAAAGCAUGGGGAGCGAACAGG
This 253-nucleotide ribosomal RNA is filed under the name uncultured bacterium. RNAcentral describes it as "partial 16S ribosomal RNA". It matches the Rfam family "Bacterial small subunit ribosomal RNA", at positions 524 to 776 of the family's 1533-position model. The record is from RNAcentral.